This 646-nucleotide ribosomal RNA is filed under the name Burkholderia ubonensis. Its description in RNAcentral is "bacterial SSU rRNA". It matches the Rfam family "Bacterial small subunit ribosomal RNA", at positions 1 to 640 of the family's 1533-position model. The record is from RNAcentral. Lineage: Bacteria; Pseudomonadati; Pseudomonadota; Betaproteobacteria; Burkholderiales; Burkholderiaceae.
UUGAACUGAAGAGUUUGAUCCUGGCUCAGAUUGAACGCUGGCGGCAUGCCUUACACAUGCAAGUCGAACGGCAGCACGGGCUUCGGCCUGGUGGCGAGUGGCGAACGGGUGAGUAAUACAUCGGAACAUGUCCUGUAGUGGGGGAUAGCCCGGCGAAAGCCGGAUUAAUACCGCAUACGAUCUACGGAUGAAAGCGGGGGACCUUCGGGCCUCGCGCUAUAGGGUUGGCCGAUGGCUGAUUAGCUAGUUGGUGGGGUAAAGGCCUACCAAGGCGACGAUCAGUAGCUGGUCUGAGAGGACGACCAGCCACACUGGGACUGAGACACGGCCCAGACUCCUACGGGAGGCAGCAGUGGGGAAUUUUGGACAAUGGGGGCAACCCUGAUCCAGCAAUGCCGCGUGUGUGAAGAAGGCCUUCGGGUUGUAAAGCACUUUUGUCCGGAAAGAAAUCCUUGGCCCUAAUAUGGCCGGGGGAUGACGGUACCGGAAGAAUAAGCACCGGCUAACUACGUGCCAGCAGCCGCGGUAAUACGUAGGGUGCGAGCGUUAAUCGGAAUUACUGGGCGUAAAGCGUGCGCAGGCGGUUUGCUAAGACCGAUGUGAAAUCCCCGGGCUCAACCUGGGAACUGCAUUGGUGACUGGCAGG